This 497-nucleotide ribosomal RNA is filed under the name uncultured bacterium. RNAcentral's name for it is "partial 16S ribosomal RNA". It matches the Rfam family "Bacterial small subunit ribosomal RNA", at positions 28 to 507 of the family's 1533-position model. The record is from RNAcentral.
GAUGAACGCUGGCGGCGUGCCUAAUACAUGCAAGUCGAGCGAACAGACGAGGAGCUUGCUCCUCUGACGUUAGCGGCGGACGGGUGAGUAACACGUGGAUAACCUACCUAUAAGACUGGGAUAACUUCGGGAAACCGGAGCUAAUACCGGAUAAUAUAUUGAACCGCAUGGUUCAAUAGUGAAAGACGGUUUUGCUGUCACUUAUAGAUGGAUCCGCGCCGCAUUAGCUAGUUGGUAAGGUAACGGCUUACCAAGGCAACGAUGCGUAGCAGACCUGAGAGGGUGAUCGGCCACACUGGAACUGAGACACGGUCCAGACUCCUACGGGAGGCAGCAGUAGGGAAUCUUCCGCAAUGGGCGAAAGCCUGACGGAGCAACGCCGCGUGAGUGAUGAAGGUCUUCGGAUCGUAAAGCUCUGUUAUUAGGGAAGAACAGAUGUGUAAGUAACUAUGCGCGUCUUGACGGUACCUAAUCAGAAAGCCACGGCUAACUACGUG